RNAcentral lists this ribosomal RNA (522 nucleotides) under uncultured bacterium. RNAcentral describes it as "bacterial SSU rRNA". It matches the Rfam family "Bacterial small subunit ribosomal RNA", at positions 375 to 885 of the family's 1533-position model. The record is from RNAcentral.
GCGCAAGCCUGACGAUGCGACGCCGCGUGCAGGAUGAAGGCCUUCGGGUUGUAAACUGCUGUGAUGGGGGAGCAACGGGCGGAGUGUUAAUAACACUUCGCAGUGAUAGUACCCCAAGAGGAAGCCACGGCUAACUCUGUGCCAGCAGCCGCGGUAAUACAGAGGUGGCAAGCGUUGUUCGGAUUUACUGGGCGUAAAGGGUGCGUAGGCGGUCUCAUGUGUCGGAUGUGAAAUCCCACGGAUUAUCUGUGGAACUGCAUUCGAAACUGUGGGGCUAGAGUGUCGGAGAGGUGGGCGGAAUUCACGGUGUAGCAGUGAAAUGCGUUGAUAUUGUGAAGAACGCCGGAGGCGAAGGCGGCCCACUGGACGACAACUGACGCUGAGGCACGAAAGAUGGGGGAGCAAACAGGAUUAGAUACCCUGGUAGUCCCAUCCGUAAACGGUGUGCACUUGGUGUAGGAGGAAUUAUACCCCUCCUGUCGCCGGAGCUAACGCGUUAAGUGCACCGCCUGGGGAGUACGG